UCAGCACGAGGCUGGGCCACCACAGCCAAGUGUUUCAAUUCCUGAAGAGCUUCCAGAAGAAAUUAGUAUGUAAUGACCGCACUCUGCAAGAAGAAAGGCCCAUUAUGGCUCUCGCUGACUGUACUUGGCUUUCAUUUGCAAGCUAAAUGGAUGCGUGCGAAGAUACAUGAGGGUGCACAGCCAAAAGCGCUAAUUCGUGGCCCCGAGGGUGUUCAUUUCACGUAAUCUCAGCAUUCAGGGAAGGAACUGUUGCAAAUGAGAUGGGCCUUGCCGUGUUGGGUGACUGAUGCACUCCUACGUCCAGAUGGUACAGACAGGGCUCUAGAAACCAGCUCGCGCUCUGUCUGCCUGUCCCAUCGCUUCCUAUUCUGUGGGCCUUUUGUCAUCAGCAGACAUUGAGCUGCCAUUUAUAUUCAACGGACAC
Sinocyclocheilus rhinocerous is the source of this 424-nucleotide long non-coding RNA. RefSeq lists it as uncharacterized. The transcript is spliced from 4 exons. The record is from RefSeq and is a predicted model, not a curated record. NCBI's taxonomy places the organism in Eukaryota, Metazoa, Chordata, Actinopteri, Cypriniformes, Cyprinidae.